UCACUCAGCAGACUGCCUUCGCUUCUCCCAGGUUUCAGGUUACAGUCAAGACAGGAAGACAGGCAGCUGGACAGAUCACUUCAAUGCAAUGUGAUAUAUGCUAAGGCAGAGAAAUGCACGAGGAGCUCGUAGAGAACACAGAAGAGGCAUCCAACCCAGCCUGUAGAUCAGGAAAUGCUGCCAGGAGAAGGUGACUCCAGAGAGGCAUCUUGAUGGGCAUCCUGCCAGCCAAGCUGCCUGAAUAGCAGGUUAAAUGGUCACUCAACUGUCAUCGAACUCCUUUUCCCUUUCAGAAGCAACUGGAGGCAAGCCAACGCCCAUUACUGACCUAGUUCCACAGCAUCUUAAGAUUUCCACAGUGGUUUCUACUAGCCAAUUCUCAUGUCAACACAUGCUUCAAGUUAGUUUUGUUAUUAGUGGUUUGUAAGUGGAGAGACUCCAAUACAGAUAUAGAAACCUGUUCGUGUCUCCUACAUUUAAUUCAGAGUCAGACCAUAGGAAGCUAUUUUCAAAGUUACACUAAUUCUUUCAAAUCUCUAGGAAAUGUACUUAGUAGGGUGUCAUUUGUGAAGAAAUUUUAAUAUAAACAUCUCUUGCUUUUGGAAUUCAAAUACUUUUGUGGCCUAGUUAUGAAAAGUGAAUCUCCUCCACUGGUUUUUAUUGUAUUAUUGAAGAUACAUUCAAAUUUUUAAUCUCUUUAAAGAGAUGAAUGCAUUAUUGCCAUCUCUUUGAGCCUGUCUUUUCAAGUCUCUUACAUUUUAUCUUGUGUUAUUGGCCCUCUUUGAGGGACUGAGGUAUCUUUCUAAUCCUAAUAAAUUAAAAGUGUUUUGAGGGC
This is a long non-coding RNA of Bos taurus (domestic cattle), 835 nucleotides long. The record is from Ensembl. NCBI's taxonomy places the organism in Eukaryota, Metazoa, Chordata, Mammalia, Artiodactyla, Bovidae.